Molecule: ribosomal RNA, 709 nt
Filed under: uncultured bacterium
Lineage: Bacteria
Description: bacterial SSU rRNA
Rfam family: Bacterial small subunit ribosomal RNA
Source: RNAcentral
UGAGUAACACGUGGGUAACCUGCCCAGAAUCAGGGGAUAACACUUGGAAACAGGUGCUAAUACCGUAUAACAACAGAAGAACCGCAUGGUUUUUGUUUAAAAGGUGGUUUCGGCUAUCACUUCUGGAUGGACCCGCGGCGUAUUAGCUAGUUGGUGGAGUAAUGGUUCACCAAGGCAAUGAUACGUAGCCGACCUGAGAGGGUAAUCGGCCACAUUGGGACUGAGACACGGCCCAAACUCCUACGGGAGGCAGCAGUAGGGAAUCUUCCACAAUGGACGAAAGUCUGAUGGAGCAACGCCGCGUGAGUGAAGAAGGGUUUCGGCUCGUAAAACUCUGUUGUUGAAGAAGAACACAUCUGAGAGUAACUGUUCAGGUGUUGACGGUAUUUAACCAGAAAGCCACGGCUAACUACGUGCCAGCAGCCGCGGUAAUACGUAGGUGGCAAGCGUUGUCCGGAUUUAUUGGGCGUAAAGCGAGCGCAGGCGGUUUCUUAAGUCUGAUGUGAAAGCCUUCGGCUUAACCGGAGAAGUGCAUCGGAAACUGGGAGACUUGAGUGCAGAAGAGGACAGUGGAACUCCAUGUGUAGCGGUGAAAUGCGUAGAUAUAUGGAAGAACACCAGUGGCGAAGGCGGCUGUCUGGUCUGUAACUGACGCUGAGGCUCGAAAGCAUGGGUAGCGAACAGGAUUAGAUACCCUGGUAGUCCAUGC